CCGAGUUUACAACUCCCAAACCCAAUGUGAACGUUACCAAAUCUGUUGCCUCGGCGGGAUCUCUGCCCCGGGUGCGUCGCAGCCCCGGACCAAGGCGCCCGCCGGAGGACCAACCAAAACUCUUAUUGUAUACCCCCUCGCGGGUUUUUUUUAUAUCUGAGCCUUCUCGGCGCCUCUCGUAGGCGUUUCGAAAAUGAAUCA
This 201-nucleotide unclassified non-coding RNA is filed under the name soil metagenome. RNAcentral's name for it is "partial internal transcribed spacer 1". The record is from RNAcentral.